GAUGAACGCUGGCGGCGUGCCUAAUACAUGCAAGUCGAGCGAACAGACGAGGAGCUUGCUCCUCUGACGUUAGCGGCGGACGGGUGAGUAACACGUGGAUAACCUACCUAUAAGACUGGGAUAACUUCGGGAAACCGGAGCUAAUACCGGAUAAUAUAUUGAACCGCAUGGUUCACUAGUGAAAGACGGUUUUGCUGUCACUUAUAGAUGGAUCCGCGCCGCAUUAGCUAGUUGGUAAGGUAACGGCUUACCAAGGCAACGAUGCGUAGCCGACCUGAGAGGGUGGUCGGCCACACUGGAACUGAGACACGGUCCAGACUCCUACGGGAGGAAGCAGUAGGGAAUCUUCCGCAAUGGGCGAAAGCCUGACGGAGCAACGCCGGGGGAGGGAUGAAGGUCUUCGGAUCGUAAAACUCUGUUAUUAGGGAAGAACAAAUGUGUAAGUAACUAUGAACGUCUUGACGGUACCUAAUCAGAAAGCCACGGCUAACUACGUG
Molecule: ribosomal RNA, 497 nt
Filed under: uncultured bacterium
Lineage: Bacteria
Description: partial 16S ribosomal RNA
Rfam family: Bacterial small subunit ribosomal RNA
Source: RNAcentral